Gorilla gorilla gorilla (western lowland gorilla) is the source of this 269-nucleotide unclassified non-coding RNA. Its record names the gene 7SK. It matches the Rfam family "7SK RNA". Rfam says of the family: 7SK was discovered as an abundant small nuclear RNA in the mid-70s but a possible function has only recently been suggested. Two independent studies have found that 7SK RNA binds the CDK9/cyclin T complex (known as elongation factor P-TEFb). Lineage: Eukaryota; Metazoa; Chordata; Mammalia; Primates; Hominidae. The record is from Ensembl.
AGAUUUGAGGGUACUCUGACUGCAACAUCUAUGACCCCAUUGAUCGCCAGGAUUGAUUUGGUUGAUCUGGCUGAGUAGGCAGGUGUCCCCGUCCUCCCUCGCUGCCCCAUAUGUGUCCCUCCUAAAGCUGCAUGCUCAGUUGAAGAGGACGAGAGGACGACCUUCUCUGAUAGAGGAGGACCACGCUUCAGUCAAAGGCAUACAAGUACCUGUCUGGACUUCCCUGCUAGCACUUCCAAACAAGCUCAGAGAUGUUCCUCCCCUCGUCU